CCUACGGGCGGCAGCAGUGAGGAAUAUUGGUCAAUGGCCGGAAGGCUGAACCAGCCAUGCCGCGUGAAGGUCAGUGCCCUAUGGGCGUUAAACUUCUUUUGUGCGGGAGCAAUAAUGGUCACGUGUGGCCAGACGAGAGUACCGUACGAAUAAGCAUCGGCUAACUCCGUGCGAGCAGCCGCGGUAAUACGGGGGAUGCAAGCGUUAUCCGGAUAUGUUGGGUGUAAAGGGUGCGUAGGCUGGGAGGUAAGUCAGCGGUGAAAUGCCCCCGCUCAACGGGGUGAAGAGCCAUUGAUACUGCCUUGCUGGAAUGCGGAAGCCGUAGGAGGAAUGUGUGGUGUAGCGGUGAAAUGCAUAGAUAUCACACAGAACACCGAUUGCGAAGGCAUCUCACGAAUCCGCGAUUGACGCUGAUGCACGAAAGCGUGGGUAUCAAACAGGAUUAGAUACCCGAGUAGUC
RNAcentral lists this ribosomal RNA (460 nucleotides) under uncultured bacterium. RNAcentral's name for it is "partial 16S ribosomal RNA". It matches the Rfam family "Bacterial small subunit ribosomal RNA", at positions 338 to 795 of the family's 1533-position model. The record is from RNAcentral.